CCCUUAGAUGUUCUGGGCCGCACGCGCGCUACACUGAUGCAUUCAACGAGUUUCUUCCUGGUCCGAGAGGAAUGGGUAACCUUUUGAAAGUGCAUCGUGAUAGGGAUAGACUAUUGCAAUUAUUGGUCUUCAACGAGGAAUUCCUAGUAGACGUAGUUCAUAGACUGCAUCGAUUACGUCCCUGCCCUUUGUACACACCGCCCGUCGCUCCUACCGAUUGAAUGCUCAGGUGAGCCAUUCGGACUUUCAUCAUGCUGGUUUCCAGUUUUGAUGAAGGAAAGUCUUGCGAACCUUAUCAUUUAGAGGAAGGAGAAGUCGUAACA
This 323-nucleotide ribosomal RNA is filed under the name uncultured eukaryote. RNAcentral describes it as "partial 18S ribosomal RNA". It matches the Rfam family "Eukaryotic small subunit ribosomal RNA", at positions 1470 to 1796 of the family's 1831-position model. The record is from RNAcentral.